Molecule: signal recognition particle RNA, 98 nt
Filed under: Sulfurovum sp. XGS-02
Lineage: Bacteria; Pseudomonadati; Campylobacterota; Epsilonproteobacteria; Campylobacterales; Sulfurovaceae
Description: signal recognition particle sRNA small type
Rfam family: Bacterial small signal recognition particle RNA
About the family: The signal recognition particle (SRP) is a universally conserved ribonucleoprotein involved in the co-translational targeting of proteins to membranes. Archaeal SRP consists of a 7S RNA and homologues of the eukaryotic SRP19 and SRP54 proteins. In most bacteria, the SRP consists of a 4.5S RNA and the Ffh protein (a homologue of the eukaryotic SRP54 protein).
Source: RNAcentral
UUUUCAGACCUGUGCAACGGAACUGAAAGACAACGGGUCAGGACGGGAACGUAGCAGCCCACCUUUCUUUACUGUGUGCCGCAGGAACCUGGGGAGAG